GAUGAAGAACGUAGCGAAAUGCGAUAAGUAAUGUGAAUUGCAGAAUUCAGUGAAUCAUCGAAUCUUUGAACGCACAUUGCGCCCGCCAGUAUUCUGGCAGGCAUGCCUGUCUGAGCGUCAUUUCAACCCUCAUGCCCCUAGGGCGUGGUGUUGGGGAUCGGCCAAAGCCCGCGAGGGACGGCCGGCCCCUAAAUCUAGUGGCGGACCCGUCGUGGCCUCCUCUGCGAAGUAGUGAUAUUCCGCAUCGGAGAGCGAUGAGCCCCUGCCGUUAAACCCCCAACUUUCCAAGGUUGACCUCAGAUCAGGUAGGAAUACCCGCUGAACUUAAGCAUAUCAAUAAGCGGAGA
RNAcentral lists this unclassified non-coding RNA (347 nucleotides) under soil metagenome. Its description in RNAcentral is "partial contains 5.8S ribosomal RNA, internal transcribed spacer 2, and large subunit ribosomal RNA". The stretch from base 1 to 120 matches the Rfam family "5.8S ribosomal RNA", at positions 35 to 154 of the family's 154-position model. The record is from RNAcentral.